Molecule: non-coding RNA, 21 nt
Filed under: Caenorhabditis elegans
Lineage: Eukaryota; Metazoa; Nematoda; Chromadorea; Rhabditida; Rhabditidae
Source: RNAcentral
UGAAAACUCCAUAUUAUAUUC